GGUCAGAUAAUGCUAAAACAACAUAUUCCUGAGAUUCUCUUUGAGGAAUACAAAAUCGAGGUUUUUAAGACUGAUGGCCA
Molecule: non-coding RNA, 80 nt
Organism: Triticum aestivum (bread wheat)
Lineage: Eukaryota; Viridiplantae; Streptophyta; Magnoliopsida; Poales; Poaceae
Source: Rfam